This is a long non-coding RNA of Mus musculus (house mouse), 3558 nucleotides long. RefSeq annotates it as predicted gene, 35335. Lineage: Eukaryota; Metazoa; Chordata; Mammalia; Rodentia; Muridae. The record is from RefSeq and is a predicted model, not a curated record. The transcript is spliced from 5 exons.
AGCCCUAAUAGGAACCUAUAAUCUAUUUUUUGUUCUUUAUUCUUCAUCAUAUUUAGUAGGAUAUGAGACUAUUGUCAUGUAUAUAUAUUUUCAAAUAAGAUAUUAAGUAAUUAUAAAGUAUGCACAGGAGUACACAAGAGUGCAGUUAGCACAUUAUAUAUAAAUUGUUCUAUCACAGUAUUAAAUAGUUUCUAUUUCUUUACUUGAAAAUCUAUAACUUAGUAUUCUAACUAUUGAUGUACCUAAAAUUUACUAAAUUUAUUUUAUCAUUUUAUAUAUGAGAGUGUUGAACUGCAUUGUGCACUGUAAGUGUGCAUUCCCCAUCAAUAUCAUAAGAUAUCUCUCAGAAUUUAAGGUACAGGUGAUUAUGUGCAAACAUUUGGGUGUCAGGCCUCAAAUGAAUUUGCUCUGACUGAUGAACUUAAUUCAUAUUAUUUUUUAGUAUUCAGGAAAAUUUAAUACUAUCUACCUAGCAAUCAAAUAUGUAGGUAUAACGGUAGAAAAUAGUCCAAAGCAGAUGCUGAUGCAUGAGGUUAAGUGUUUUAACAAAUACAGAGUCAUGAUCAUGACAUUCUAUUUCAGGUAAGAAAAGAUAUUUGUGUAGAACUAACAAUGUGUUGAAAUUAGAACCAAGGCAUUAUAAUAUAUUUCUGGAAAUAAGAACAUGAUUUUGAUCUUAUAAUAAUCUGAGGAAAGUUGGAGUUGAGAGUGACUUCAUCUAAAAUGCAUUAAAUUUGAGUUUUCACAUCUUGAUAUUUUAAUCUUUCUUUAUAUUAAAAGAGUUAAGGGCCAACACGAUAAAAAAUACCUUGUAUAAUGAAACCUAUGUUGGCUAAAAGUAAAACAUGAAGAAAUGUGAAUAUGAGUAAAGGCAAGUCUGACAAAAGCAGUGUUUUUAACUUCACUGUGAAGAAUGUGCUUAUUCUUGAAAAUCAUCCCAAUGACUCGAACCUAGCAUUGCAUCAAUGAGGUCACUUGUGUGGCUUCAGUGAGUUGGAAAUUGCCUUCUUUAAAGGUCUGAGUCCCAUUCCCAUGCACAAGUCUUGGGGUACACAGGAAUCCAUUCCCUACUGGAAUCCUAGACUGAAAAGUUGAUUAAUGAAGAUACUAACAAACCAAAAAUAGCAUCAUAGAAAACAGAAGCCAUGAUUGUGUCUAGAUUUAAUCAAGAUGUGAAUUCUUUGGGUACAAAUAUUGUGUAAUAAGUUUUGUUUAGGAAAAAUGGGAAGUGUGAACAACACACAGUUUGGGCUGAUAAAUUUUGGAGGAAGUAUUGUCCACUUAGUAAUGAGUAUCACUGGUUCAGGAUUGAUUGGCUGCAUUAUUUACAUGUUCUGUAAGGAAUGUGAUCUUUUUCAAGAGUGUCUUUAGUGGAUAGAUCUUCCAUUGUGUCUCAUUUUACAGGGUAUUUUUUCCUAACCAAAUUUCCCAAAAGAAAUGGAACUGAUUCAAUCCCUGGGACGUGGAAUUUGUGUGAUGCAGUUCACCAUUUUCCAAAUAUCUACCUUUAUCCAGCAUCUGAGGGUAGAUUAUAUCGAACAACUGGAACAAAUAUCACUGAGGAGAUAUGGGAAGAACUCAAGAAGCUGACUCAGCAAUCUAAAAUCGUUACUGAAAAUAUGGAAAACGUCUAUGAAACAGGCCUCAGUCCUCCUUGACCCACGGAAUAACUAAGUACUGCUAGACAGGACAUGUGGCGCUGACAACGUGGGGCUUGAGGCACAGACCUUUGCCCAGCGGAGACUAUGGAGACUAGCUCCAAGAGAAGUUCAUUGUGACUAGAAGAAUAAGAAGCAUACGUUGUUUGAGGAAUGAAUGCUCCUACUGCUCAUAGGAGAAAGUGUCCUCGGCGUCAGUCUUCCUCGACCCAUGGAAUAGCUAGGACGUGUUGGACGAGACACAUGCCAGAAUAUGUAAUAUAUUAUAUAUAAGGGCUCAAGGAUAUAAUAUGGUCACCUCAUAAGAAAGACCUUUCAAGAGUCCUGGAGAGAUGAAUGAUAUAAAUGACCUAUCAACAUGAUGAAGGUACCUACACUUAAGUGAUUGCAAGAAUCUCAGAAGAAACAUUGAACUUUGGAUUUUAAACAUUAUUGAGACUAUUAUAGACUAUGUGGACUUUUAAAGUUGGACUAAAUGCAUUUUUCCUUUUGUUAUGGCUACUAAACUAUGGUGGCCAGUGUGUGUUGUUUGAAUAGCUUUGCCCCUCAUAGCCUCAUGUGAUGAAAUUUUUGAGCCAUAGAGAGUGGCAUUAUUUGGAGGUGUAGCCUUGUUGCUUUCUUGCAUGAUGAAAUGUGGUAGUGUGAAGAUGAAUGUUGAAGUCCCAAAUAUAAACUCAAGUUAUACUCAGUACAAAAUGUAUUGUCCUUUUGUCUGUCUUAUGAUCAAAAUGUAAAACUCUUGGUUUUUUUCCAGUGCCAUGUCUGUCUCCAAGUUGCCACUCUUCUGGUUACGAAGAUAAUGAGUUAAAUCUCUAAAAUUAUAAUCCAGCCACAGUUAAAUAUUAGUCUUUAUAAAAUUUGCUCUGGUCAUGGUUUAUCUUCACAGCAAUGGACACACUAAGACAACAGCUUUCAUCCAAACAUUCCAGAGACAGUGCUAUGCAGAUCUCUGAAUUUAAGGUCAAUCUAUAGAGCAAGGUCUAGGACAGUCAAGGUUAGGAAGUAAAAGCGCUAGAAAACAGGAAGCUGGUGAUAAUAUAAUACAAUAAGUGUGGCCAUGUUCCAGUCCCAGUACAGCAAACAGUAGAACAUGGCACCAGGAAGAAAGCCUAUGAGAAGCUAUUGAUGAAGCAUAGAUAUAGCAGAAAACUUUACCCAUUUGUGCUAACACUGUAUUUGUAGCUCAUAAGAGAUACAGAUUGAAAAUAUCAUAAGGAAAAUGACAGUUUCUUCCUGAAAUAUAGAUAUAGCCAUAUUUUAAGACUUUAAAUGGACUUAAUCUGUGUAGGAAAACAAUAUCAUGAUUUCACAGAAUGAGUGAACAAAUUUAAAGUGGAGUGACCGAAGAGAACACUUUGCCCACAGAUGACUAGUUCCUCCCAUAGCAAUACAUUCUGAAAAAGUAAACCAAUCCAUACAACCAUUCACCAAUACUCAUCAAGAAAAUUCUGGGUUGUGUAAAAUUGAGAGUUGCAUUGUCUCUCUGUUAGCUAUAUCUAUAUGCCAGCUAUCAUCCUUCUAUCAUUUAUCAGUAAAUCAUAUGCUGAACAUUGACUUCUUUCUAUCUAAAUAUCAAUCUAUGUAUCUAUGUGUUUAUGUAUCUAUGUAUCUAUAUAUCUAUGUAUCUAUAAUAUAAGCAUCUAGCAGACUUACCCACUGAUCUUCUAAAUCUAUCUAUCAUCUAUGAUUUGUAUUUUAUUCAUAUACACACAGACACAUGAUUAAAUGUAUAAAUACAAUAUGGUAAAUUCAUUUAGUAUUCUGCAUACAUCUGUUUUUAAGGCUAACACCAUUAUAUUGGACAAACAGGGGUUUAUUUCUGAGGACAAGUAAUUCUCCCCAUCUCCCCCUCUUCCCUCUCAUGAAUAAAUAAUUGGUUGUCACUCCUCAUUUAAGGUGG